RNAcentral lists this long non-coding RNA (214 nucleotides) under Hordeum vulgare. Its description in RNAcentral is "long non-coding RNA (HVUL_LNC016408)". The record is from RNAcentral. Lineage: Eukaryota; Viridiplantae; Streptophyta; Magnoliopsida; Poales; Poaceae.
AGUGAGGAUGGGACACGCCCCCGUGUACUGGCCAAAACUCACGGGGCUGCUGCUCUGCUCACAUGUGUUCGUUUGGAUUCUAGACUAGACUAGCCACGGAUGCGUUUGGGCGUACUAGGCACUCGCAGGCGGCACGUAUGUUGAUGCCCUGACGUGGAGCUCGUUCGUACUGUUGCCUAGUUUUAUUUGUGUGAGAUGUAGGUGUUGUCGGAUU